Molecule: ribosomal RNA, 909 nt
Filed under: Dactylellina gephyropaga
Lineage: Eukaryota; Fungi; Ascomycota; Orbiliomycetes; Orbiliales; Orbiliaceae
Description: LSU rRNA
Rfam family: Eukaryotic large subunit ribosomal RNA
Source: RNAcentral
GCAUAUCAAUAAGCGGAGGAUAAAAGAAACCCAACAGGGGAUUGCCUCAGUAACGGCGAGUGAAGCGGCAACAGCUCAAAUUUGAAAUCUGGAGCCCUCGGCUUCCGAGUUGUAAUUUGAAGAGGAUGUUUCGGUUGUGGCCUGGGCCUAAGUUCCUUGGAACAGGACGUCAUGGAGGGUGAGAAUCCCGUACAUGGCUGCAGGCUUACUUCCAUGUGAAACUCCUUCGAAGAGUCGAGUUGUUUGGGAAUGCAGCUCAAAAUGGGUGGUAAAUUUCAUCUAAAGCUAAAUAUUGGCGGGAGACCGAUAGCGCACAAGUAGAGUGAUCGAAAGAUGAAAAGCACUUUGAAAAGAGAGUUAAACAGCACGUGAAAUUGUUGAAAGGGAAGCGCUUGCGAUCAGACUCGCUCUCGGUUGAUCAACGUUCCUUCUGGUGCGUGCACUCUGCCGUUGGCGGGCCAGCAUCGGUUGGGGCGGCGGGACAAAGGCAGCGGGAAUGUGGCUCCUCUCGGGGAGUGUUAUAGCCCGUUGUGUAAUGCCGCCAGCCCCGACCGAGGUCCGCGGUUCUGCCUAGGAUGCUGGCUUAAUGGUCGUAAGCGACCCGUCUUGAAACACGGACCAAGGAGUCUAACAUCUAUGCGAGUCUUUGGGUGUCAAACCCAUGGGCGGAAUGAAAGUGAACGGAGGUGGGAGUCCUCGGAUGCACCAUCGACCGAUCCUGAUGUUCUCGGAUGGAUUUGAGUAUGAGCAUAGCUGUUGGGACCCGAAAGAUGGUGAACUAUGCCUGAAAUAGGGUGAAGCCAGAGGGAAACUCUGGUGGAGGCUCGCAGCGGGUUCUGACGUGCAAAUCGAUCGUCAAAUUUGGGGUAUAGAGGCGAAAGACUAAUCGAACCCUCUAGUAGGCUGGGU